Long non-coding RNA from Canis lupus familiaris (dog), 1388 nucleotides. RefSeq lists it as uncharacterized. Lineage: Eukaryota; Metazoa; Chordata; Mammalia; Carnivora; Canidae. The transcript is spliced from 3 exons. The record is from RefSeq and is a predicted model, not a curated record.
CAGCCUUGACCUCACAAGUCCCCUCAAAGGGUCUCAGGAACCUGGAGGUGCACGGACCUCAGGGGGAGAAGCCCUGGUGUAGGCCACAUCCCUGCCCCAGUGAUCACUAUGACCAGCUGGAAGAAGUGGAACAUUCACCUGUGACCCCAGCAGUGCUGUUCCUCCAGAGAGACUCCCACACCCAUGUGUGAACCAGAGAGUCAGACACAAGCAUGUGCACGACGCUAUCAUCCACCUUCACCAUUUGGAGGCAACCUGAAGGACAGAACUGACAAGUGAACCAUGUGCCGCUUAUAUAACAGAACACUACCCGAUGGGCAGCAUGUGCCCAGCUCAAAAAAAAGAGAGAGAGAGAGAGAGACGGAGACAGAGAAAGAAAAAGAAAACACUGCAUAUUCCAGCCUCCCUGCAGUGACAUGGCCUUAUCGGCAAAUUGGAGGCAAAAAGAACUGGGUGGGAAAGACUGACGGAGCUGCAGCAGCCCUCUUGUGAUCCUAAGGCCUCCUUGUGGAUGGAAAACAACACUAAGAUGGCACAGCAUAAAGGUAGAGGGAGCCUGGGCACUGAUGAUACUGUGGAGCCCCCCACCAGCCCUCACAUUUUGUCGGGGAAAAAUGAUCUCUCUUCGUUUAAGCCACUUGGGUCCAGGUUAUGUCCACUCACAGCAAGGCGACCUCCCGCACCCAUGGCUCCUCAAGCACGCUGGGAGCACGCUGCCUCUCACCACACAUGCAAAUGGCAGUUGUCCCAAUUCCCUUACUUGCUAAUCCCUUUCUGCUUUUUGCCUUUUCAUAGUCUACAUUCCCAGCUUGUUGAGCUGCUUUUUUUUUUUUUUCCCUCCACUUGGUGCCAAAUAAUGAAAUUUUAGUACUUAGCCUUGAAAACUCUAAGCUUUUCUUACUGCUGGUAAAAGAAAUCUCAGCAAGAUAAGAAGCAAAAAAAUGUUCCCGCUUUCCCUACAGCUGCAAAAACACAGACGCUCCUCGGAAUCAUAAAGCUGGUUCCGAUAAGUGGGGGAUUGAAAACGGUCACUGAAGAAACCACGCAUGUUCUCCUCUUCAGUGUGGAGACGGAUGUGAAAAUGUAAAGCCCUAUUCUAUUUUCUGCCAGUGUGAACGUGUCCUUAGAGGGGUAAUUUGCACAAAGGAGCCUUGUAAGAUGACUGGCCUUUGGGCCUGGCUGCCGUGUCCUGUGAAACAUGACCUCAGCCCUCACAGGCUGCAAGGCCCAGGACUGGGGGGUGCCUUAUGUGAUCGUUUCUCACCCUGCUGAUGAUAUUUAGGUUCUGGAAUUCCUGGGUCAAAACUUAAGAGGAUCAUUGCUGCUUGCAUGAAGGAAAAAAUUAAUAAAAGCUGAGGUGUUGGUAGAUUAUUUGAACCAAGAUUUUG